CAGGAAGAGAAAGAAGAAA
RNAcentral lists this small RNA (19 nucleotides) under Arabidopsis thaliana (thale cress). Its description in RNAcentral is "ATSL012750". Lineage: Eukaryota; Viridiplantae; Streptophyta; Magnoliopsida; Brassicales; Brassicaceae. The record is from RNAcentral.